CCAGAAGGCUGGACCGCCGCCGGAUCGCAAGAUUGGGAGGAAAGUCCGGACAUCAUGGAACAAUGGAACCGGAUAACCUCCGGCGGGGGCAACCCCAGGGAUAGGACCACAGAGAAGAUACCGCCUGCAUGGCUUCGGCUUUACAGGUAAGGGUGAAAAGGUGCGGUAAGAGCGCACCGCGCACGUGGCAACACGGGUGGCAGGGCAACCCCUUCCAGAUGCAAGACCAAAUAGGAAUCCCGCGGCGGCAACGCCAGUUCCUGUUCCAGAGCGAGGGGUUCGGGUUGGACGCUUGAGCCAGCAUGUGAAUGCUGGCCUAGAGGAAUGGCGGUCUACAACAGAAUCCGGCUUACAGGCCUUCUGGUUUU
RNAcentral lists this RNase P RNA (368 nucleotides) under Alphaproteobacteria bacterium. Its description in RNAcentral is "RNase P RNA component class A". It matches the Rfam family "Bacterial RNase P class A". Rfam says of the family: Ribonuclease P (RNase P) is a ubiquitous endoribonuclease, found in archaea, bacteria and eukarya as well as chloroplasts and mitochondria. Its best characterised activity is the generation of mature 5'-ends of tRNAs by cleaving the 5'-leader elements of precursor-tRNAs. Lineage: Bacteria; Pseudomonadati; Pseudomonadota; Alphaproteobacteria. The record is from RNAcentral.